UCGAGGAUAUUUAGCAAUGGGCGAAAGCCUGACUAUGUGACGCCGCGUGAGGGAUGAAGGAUUUCGGUUCGUAAACCUCUUUCAAUGGGGAAGAAUACCUGCAUUAAUCGUGCAGCUUGACGGUACCCAGAGAAGAAGCCACGGCCAACUCCGUGCCAGCAGCCGCGGUAAUACGGGGGUGGCAAGCGUUACUCGGAUUUAUUGGGUGUAAAGGACAGGUAGGCAGCUAUACAAGUUGGAGGUGAAAUCCUAGGGCUUAACCCUAGAACUGCCUUCAAAACUGUAUAGCUUGAGGCUAGAAGAGGAGAACGGAAUUCCCGGUGUAAGGGUGAAAUCUGUAGAUAUCGGGAGGAACACCCGUGGCGAAAGCGGUUCUCUGGUCUAGUUCUGACGCUAAACUGUGAAAGCUAGGGGAGCAAACAGG
RNAcentral lists this ribosomal RNA (424 nucleotides) under uncultured bacterium. RNAcentral's name for it is "bacterial SSU rRNA". It matches the Rfam family "Bacterial small subunit ribosomal RNA", at positions 355 to 776 of the family's 1533-position model. The record is from RNAcentral.